Neofelis nebulosa (Clouded leopard) is the source of this 2776-nucleotide long non-coding RNA. RefSeq lists it as uncharacterized. The transcript has 2 exons. The record is from RefSeq and is a predicted model, not a curated record. NCBI's taxonomy places the organism in Eukaryota, Metazoa, Chordata, Mammalia, Carnivora, Felidae.
AGGAUUAAUGAACGAAUCAUUGCAAUUCAUUGAACAAAUGAAUGCAUGGAUUUGAUUCUUCUUUAUUAUUUGUACAACAAAAUUCUUAAGUAGGUCUUUGCUAUUGUCUCUGGACUGGGGCUUUCAGCUAACAUACAGUAGGAAUUGGAUUCAUCAAAAAUCUCCUAGACAUAUAUCUGUAUUUCUGAAAAUUUGAAAUGAUAGGAAGUUGUUUCACUAUGAUAGCAAGAGUUGGAGGCAAAGUUUCAGGAAUGUGUGAGUUUUCCUCUGGUUGGUUAGUGGUGUUUAUUAGUGGUAAGGGCACAGGGAGUCAAUUUCUCUCUUUUCUGUACAUCCCCUGAAAGCUGUUCAGUAGAAUAGAUGAGUCUCUGUUCCACCCAUUUGUGACAUCACAUAGGUUUAGACCAGCAGUUUGACAAGGAAUUUGAGGGUCAACCCAAAUUACCUUUAUGUGCUUUUUGUUGUUUUGGUAAAAGAAGUGUGGUUAUAGGAUUUUUGUUUCUGGACAACUAACAAGAAAAGAGAAGAAGACAAAACAGAAAUUUGCUGUCUGCUGAGCAGCAACCAGGAGCCUGCAACUGGAAGAGCUGCGCAUGUUUGAGAACCAGGCCUUGGAGACGCUGCCAUGCUGAAAGAGGUGGAUGGAUGCUGGAGAAGCAGCAUACGCUGCAGAAACCUGCUCAGACAGAAAGUUCCAGAACCAAGAAACAAACCCUUUGCAGUGUCUCUACAGCAUCCAUUGCUGACAAACUUACUACCAGUUGGCUGAGAAACAUUUAUAUAGGGUCCAAAUCCAUUUCCAUGAAUUGGCUAUGAAGGACAAACUCAGCGCUGAGAGGCAAUUAGUUGAUAACUGGCACAGUGUCCUAUUUCCUAAUGUGAUGAACUGGCAGGAACUCUUUCCUAGUUGGGUAUGAUAAGGAGUGUGUGAUAAAUACGAGGUGGAACUGACAAAGGCCAUGGCAUUGAAGGGGAUGAAUUAUAAUACUUCCAAAAAGAAAAGGGAAAAACAUUUACCUUGGAACUAUAGUAAGAGUAUUUUAUUUAAUCAGAGCUCCCUAAUCUCUCACUCUCUAGGCUCUCUGUCUUCUGAGACAGAUGACACCCAUGGCUCUGAAUGCCACAUUCCAUUGUUUUCCAGCAAGCACACAGCUAAAGCAUUGUUGUCAAAACUCCUCACUUUAAAUAGGACAUUGCCCACACCCCACCCCACUGCUCCAAUCCUCUAAGCAAAUGAGACUGCAAAUCCUAAGGCAAAUAAAUGACUGAAAGAAGGCAUGCACACUGUUGAUCAAAUAAUUUUGCUUCUGUUCCUGUUCUUGCAAACUUGCAGUCCUGUCCCUUAGAUGUCGCAAAAAUAGCUAAAUGGAUGCAGUAUACCCUUGAGCCAUGGAUCUUCUCUUAGAACUCUUAAGCAAGUUGAUGCUUUUUUCACAAUGUAUAAUACUUUUGAACUUUUGUAUUUGUGAUUUUUCCAAGGUCUAGUGUCAAUUUGGGAUGAAACACUUGUCCUAGACAUUCAUGGCAUAAUGGAAAGAUCACUGUACUGAGAGGCAGGCUACCUCCCUCCAAACCUAGUUGGUUCAUUGUGAAAAGCUGCUGUAGGUCUCGUGUCUCAGUUUCUCCAUCCAUAAAAUGAAUGCAUUGCAUUUAAAGACUGUAAAAUAUUGUGUACUUUUAUAGUUCUGCUGGGUAUCAAAGAAUUGAAUUCUGUUAGAAAGCCUAAUGUAGACAUCCCAACUGUAUGCACACAGCCACCUCUUCCCUUUCUCUCCUCUCCAUGCAAAUGUGUGUGCCUGAGUGGGUUUAUAUGUAUGAAUAUGAGGAGAAGACCAGCAGGGUCUAGACUAAAAUGUUAAGUAUAGUUAUUCCAGGAGGUAGGAUUAUGGAUGACUUAAAUUUCCUUCUUUAUACUUUGCUAAGUCUUCCAAAUGUUACACAAUCUGAAUGCAUCCCAGUUGUAAUCAGGAAAAGUAGAUCUUAUUUAGCAGUAAUAUUUGCUUCAACAUCUUAUAGAAGAUAUGCACCAAUGUUACACACGUGCAAAAGUGAAAUGCCCCAGUAAUCCACUCACUGAAGGAAUGAGGUCGGAACGUUUACAAACCAUGCCUGAAGAUUUGUGCUUUCUUCAAAUGCUCGUGGGUCUGCUGGACAGAAGUCUGUUUUCAAACAUCCUCAACAGUUUCUGAUCAUACUAGUAGUUCCAUCUUUUGAAGAUGAUCCAACCUGCGCUUCCCAGAAGAAGCAGAAAGAAAAGCAAGUUAGAGAGAGGAGUAAGAGUUUUGCAAACAUUGGGGAAACAAGGAAGCAAAGAGGUAGAAGUUAGGUAUGCAGACUCCCUGGAGGGAAAUCAUCCUCCACUUGAGGAGAAGAGGAAGUGUCCAGUUUCCAGUUAUACCACCUUCUUUGCAAAACAAAACAUUUUCUUGGCAUCUUGAAUGUAGUUCAAAUUUUGUGCCUUCAGUGUCGAUAUAAAAGAGACAAAAAAUCAUUUGGGUGUUUUGCUUCUUGUUGGUGAGAUAUCACUGCAUUUGAUGUAUCACAGGGGCUGUUCUGGAACAGUUUCAAGUAGUUAUGGUUGUGUUUAAAACUGUAUCUGUCUUUCAUCACUGCAAGUGACUGCGGUGAAGGGGAGGAAAAAUUCCUCUGUACCCUCAAGGUCUUCCAGCUGGACUAAGAUUGAAUUUACGUGAGAUGGAUUAACAGGAAAUAAAAACCAAAAAUUUAUUACAUGCACACAGUGGUUCAAUAAUGAAAUAAAGACCUAAAGAAAUGA